RNAcentral lists this ribosomal RNA (497 nucleotides) under uncultured bacterium. RNAcentral describes it as "partial 16S ribosomal RNA". It matches the Rfam family "Bacterial small subunit ribosomal RNA", at positions 28 to 507 of the family's 1533-position model. The record is from RNAcentral.
GAUGAACGCUGGCGGCGUGCCUAAUACAUGCAAGUCGAGCGAACGGACGAGAAGCUUGCUUCUCUGAUGUUAGCGGCGGACGGGUGAGUAACACGUGGAUAACCUACCUAUAAGACUGGGAUAACUUCGGGAAACCGGAGCUAAUACCGGAUAAUAUUUUGAACCGCAUGGUUCAAAAGUGAAAGACGGUCUUGCUGUCACUUAUAGAUGGAUCCGCGCUGCAUUAGCUAGUUGGUAAGGUAACGGCUUACCAAGGCAACGAUGCAUAGCCGACCUGAGAGGGGGAUCGGCCACACUGGAACUGAGACACGUUCCAGACUCCUACGGGAGGCAGCAGUAGGGAAUCUUCCGCAAUGGGCGAAAGCCUGACGGAGCAACGCCGCGUGAGUGAUGAAGGUCUUCGGAUCGUAAAACUCUGUUAUUAGGGAAGAACAUAUGUGUAAGUAACUGUGCACAUCUUGACGGUACCUAAUCAGAAAGCCACGGCUAACUACGUG